CAAGACUUCCCGAGCAGGACAAGUAACCCACAAAAUGUAGCCAGUAUCCAGGGCUGCUCACAGCUUUGCUUCUUGUUAAGGAAGAUGAUGGUCUUAAAAUGGUUUUACCACAAGAAACUUCCCCUACAUGGAAUAUACCUGUUGCUUUCCCCUGAGGCCUCACACUGCCACUCUGAGGAGUAUAAUGAUAGAUCCAGAGGGUUUACCACAGAUCAUGGGGAGACAAUACAGGCCAACGCUGGCAUGUGAAGACUCCAAGAAACGAAUCACAAGACCCUGAACUCUCCCCGACACACCCUCUGUGGAUCUGCCAAGUCCAGGGACAGAGCUGGCUGGACUUUUCUCACAGUAAUGUACAGUAUGAGUAAACUUUUAUGACCAAAACCUUUAUCCAACACUGAGCUAUUGAACUGAGUAUUGCUAUUGUUGUCACUGGCCCCUUACAGCAGAAAUUGUCCAUUUAAUGGUUUAAAAAUGAUUCUGUGUCAUCAGCUGGAGUAAUUAAAACCCCUUAUUGUAACCAUAUAAUUAAUUUUGGUGCUUGAUAUUAAAAUAUCAAUAAAAGUGAAAAUGCAUUGCUCAGUGUCUCCCCUUGUUUCUGUCGGCUGAGGCCGGGGAUUGUGCUAUGUGGGUGAUUCUAAAGGACUUUGAAGAAGUGCAGACAUGGUUCACACUGCUGCUUGUUGAAGCUGAUGCCAAAAAUGAAAGAUUUGCUCCUUUAUUUCUGUAGGAGUGUUACAGAAUAGGUGAUAGAGAGGUCGUGUAAUGUUGCUGGAUGGGGUGUUGAACACCUCUGGGAAGCAUAUUGAAGUUUUCAACCAGCCUACCUCCCAGUGCUAAAGCUUUAGCACGACCUCCUGGUGGGCUGUGACCUCUAAGAGUAGAUGUAAGCGAGAAAAUCAUUUCCCCAUCAGAGCUUAC
Astatotilapia calliptera (eastern happy) is the source of this 921-nucleotide long non-coding RNA. NCBI's taxonomy places the organism in Eukaryota, Metazoa, Chordata, Actinopteri, Cichliformes, Cichlidae. The record is from Ensembl.